RNAcentral lists this long non-coding RNA (555 nucleotides) under Arachis ipaensis. RNAcentral's name for it is "long non-coding RNA (AIPA_LNC001371)". Lineage: Eukaryota; Viridiplantae; Streptophyta; Magnoliopsida; Fabales; Fabaceae. The record is from RNAcentral.
GACUAAUAAUAAGAUAACUUUAGAUUAUUUUCUUAAUAGUACAUAUAGUAAAUGUAAAAUUAAGAAGCUUGUACAUUCACCACAGCAUGCGUGCAUAAUAUUGAAACAAUACAGCAGGAAUGAAACUAAUGAUUGAACUAAAAAUAAAAUAAAUAAAAUAAUAUGUAGAGCCUUUGGUGGAGCAGUUGAAGAUGGGGUUAUUAAUUAGCGGCCAUGAGUUGGAUCUGGGCUGCUUGGUGGAGAAGGACCAUUUGGGAGUGACUGGAAAAGCAGAGCCACUUCCCUGGACCCCUGUGACUGCAGCGAUAGCGGUCUGCACUCGACUCCUGAUUCAGGAGUUGCAACAAUAAAUAUUGCCACCAUUAUCAUCACAAUUUGCAGGGCCAUCAACACCAUCUUCCUGUAAGACAAACCCAUAUUAUUAUUAUUAUAAUGCUCAAUUAAUAUAUCACUAUGUAUGUAUGUGUAUAUGUUCUUCUCAGGCUAAGUGCGUUGUGUAUGUUGGGGAGAUACAAACUGUGUUUAUAUAGAGGAAUUCAAGUUAGUAGUAGUAAA